Oncorhynchus tshawytscha (Chinook salmon) is the source of this 624-nucleotide long non-coding RNA. The record is from Ensembl. NCBI's taxonomy places the organism in Eukaryota, Metazoa, Chordata, Actinopteri, Salmoniformes, Salmonidae.
GAUAGGUGGGAUGGACUGAGAGGUUGAGGGGUGGUCUAUGGUGAUAGGUGGGAUGGGCUGAGAGGUUGAGGGGUGGGAUUAAAGAGCUGAGGUCUAUGGUGAUAGGUGGGAUGGGCUGAGAGUGGCUGAGGGGUGGUCUAUGGUGAUAGGUGGGAUGGACUGAGAGGUUGAGGGGUGGUCUAUGGUGAUAGGUGGGAUGGGCUGAGAGGUUGAGGGGUGGGAUUAAAGAGCUGAGGUCUAUGGUGAUAGGUGGGAUGGGCUGAGAGUGGCUGAGGGAAGGGUUUAAAGUGCAGAGGUCUAUGGUGAUAGGUGGGAUGGGCUGAGAGUGGCUGAGGGGUGGUCUAUGGUGAUAGGUGGGAUGGGCUGAGAGUGGCUGAGGGGUGGGAUUAAAGAGCUGAGGUCUAUGGUGAUAGGUGGGAUGGGUUGAGAGUGGUUGAGGGGUGGGAUUAAAGAGCUGAGGUCUAUGGUGAUAGGUGGGAUGGGCUGAGAGUGGCUGAGGGGUGGGAUUAAAGAGCUGAGGUCUAUGGUGAUAGGUGGGAUGGGCUGAGAGUGGCUGAGCGUUGGGAUUAAAGAGUUGAGGUCUAUGGUGAUAGGUGGGAUAGGCUGAGAGUGGCUGAGGGAUGG